This 107-nucleotide non-coding RNA is filed under the name pig gut metagenome. Its description in RNAcentral is "FMN riboswitch (RFN element)". It matches the Rfam family "FMN riboswitch aptamer (RFN element)". From Rfam's summary of the family: The RFN element is a highly conserved domain that is found frequently in the 5'-untranslated regions of prokaryotic mRNAs that encode for flavin mononucleotide (FMN) biosynthesis and transport proteins. This element is a metabolite-dependent riboswitch that directly binds FMN in the absence of proteins. The record is from RNAcentral.
AAUCUUCAGGGCAGGGUGCAAUUCCCUACCGGCGGUAUAGCCCGCGAGCCGUAAGGCAUGAUUCGGUGAGACUCCGAAGCCGACAGUAAAGUCUGGAUGAAAGAAGA